This 2900-nucleotide ribosomal RNA is filed under the name Klebsiella pneumoniae. RNAcentral's name for it is "bacterial LSU rRNA". It matches the Rfam family "Bacterial large subunit ribosomal RNA". RNAcentral also lists the same sequence under 4 other names. The record is from RNAcentral. Lineage: Bacteria; Pseudomonadati; Pseudomonadota; Gammaproteobacteria; Enterobacterales; Enterobacteriaceae.
UUAAGCGACUAAGCGUACACGGUGGAUGCCCUGGCAGUCAGAGGCGAUGAAGGACGUGCUAAUCUGCGAAAAGCGUCGGUAAGGUGAUAUGAACCGUUAUAACCGGCGAUGUCCGAAUGGGGAAACCCAGUGCAAUUCGUUGCACUAUCGUUAACUGAAUACAUAGGUUAACGAGGCGAACCGGGGGAACUGAAACAUCUAAGUACCCCGAGGAAAAGAAAUCAACCGAGAUUCCCCCAGUAGCGGCGAGCGAACGGGGAGCAGCCCAGAGUCUGAAUCAGCUUGUGUGUUAGUGGAACGGUCUGGAAAGUCCGACGGUACAGGGUGAUAGUCCCGUACACCAAAAUGCACAGGUUGUGAACUCGAAGAGUAGGGCGGGACACGUGGUAUCCUGUCUGAAUAUGGGGGGACCAUCCUCCAAGGCUAAAUACUCCUGACUGACCGAUAGUGAACCAGUACCGUGAGGGAAAGGCGAAAAGAACCCCGGCGAGGGGAGUGAAAAAGAACCUGAAACCGUGUACGUACAAGCAGUGGGAGCACCUUCGGGUGUGACUGCGUACCUUUUGUAUAAUGGGUCAGCGACUUAUAUUCUGUAGCAAGGUUAACCGUAUAGGGGAGCCGCAGGGAAACCGAGUCUUAACUGGGCGUUAAGUUGCAGGGUAUAGACCCGAAACCCGGUGAUCUAGCCAUGGGCAGGUUGAAGGUUGGGUAACACUAACUGGAGGACCGAACCGACUAAUGUUGAAAAAUUAGCGGAUGACUUGUGGCUGGGGGUGAAAGGCCAAUCAAACCGGGAGAUAGCUGGUUCUCCCCGAAAGCUAUUUAGGUAGCGCCUCGUGAAUUCAUCUUCGGGGGUAGAGCACUGUUUCGGCUAGGGGGUCAUCCCGACUUACCAACCCGAUGCAAACUACGAAUACCGAAGAAUGUUAUCACGGGAGACACACGGCGGGUGCUAACGUCCGUCGUGAAGAGGGAAACAACCCAGACCGCCAGCUAAGGUCCCAAAGUCAUGGUUAAGUGGGAAACGAUGUGGGAAGGCACAGACAGCCAGGAUGUUGGCUUAGAAGCAGCCAUCAUUUAAAGAAAGCGUAAUAGCUCACUGGUCGAGUCGGCCUGCGCGGAAGAUGUAACGGGGCUAAACCAUGCACCGAAGCUGCGGCAGCGACACUAUGUGUUGUUGGGUAGGGGAGCGUUCUGUAAGCCUGCGAAGGUGACCUGUGAGGGUUGCUGGAGGUAUCAGAAGUGCGAAUGCUGACAUAAGUAACGAUAAAGCGGGUGAAAAGCCCGCUCGCCGGAAGACCAAGGGUUCCUGUCCAACGUUAAUCGGGGCAGGGUGAGUCGACCCCUAAGGCGAGGCCGAAAGGCGUAGUCGAUGGGAAACAGGUUAAUAUUCCUGUACUUGGUGUUACUGCGAAGGGGGGACGGAGAAGGCUAUGUUAGCCGGGCGACGGUUGUCCCGGUUUAAGCAUGUAGGCUGGUUGUCCAGGCAAAUCCGGAUAAUCAAGGCUGAGGUGUGAUGACGAGGCACUACGGUGCUGAAGUAACAAAUGCCCUGCUUCCAGGAAAAGCCUCUAAGCAUCAGGUAACAUCAAAUCGUACCCCAAACCGACACAGGUGGUCAGGUAGAGAAUACCAAGGCGCUUGAGAGAACUCGGGUGAAGGAACUAGGCAAAAUGGUGCCGUAACUUCGGGAGAAGGCACGCUGGUGUGUAGGUGAAGUCCCUGCGGAUGGAGCUGAGACCAGUCGAAGAUACCAGCUGGCUGCAACUGUUUAUUAAAAACACAGCACUGUGCAAACACGAAAGUGGACGUAUACGGUGUGACGCCUGCCCGGUGCCGGAAGGUUAAUUGAUGGGGUUAUCCGUAAGGAGAAGCUCUUGAUCGAAGCCCCGGUAAACGGCGGCCGUAACUAUAACGGUCCUAAGGUAGCGAAAUUCCUUGUCGGGUAAGUUCCGACCUGCACGAAUGGCGUAAUGAUGGCCAGGCUGUCUCCACCCGAGACUCAGUGAAAUUGAACUCGCUGUGAAGAUGCAGUGUACCCGCGGCAAGACGGAAAGACCCCGUGAACCUUUACUAUAGCUUGACACUGAACAUUGAGCCUUGAUGUGUAGGAUAGGUGGGAGGCUUUGAAGCGUGGACGCCAGUCUGCGUGGAGCCAACCUUGAAAUACCACCCUUUAAUGUUUGAUGUUCUAACGUUGGCCCCUUACCGGGGUUGCGGACAGUGUCUGGUGGGUAGUUUGACUGGGGCGGUCUCCUCCCAAAGCGUAACGGAGGAGCACGAAGGUUAGCUAAUCCUGGUCGGACAUCAGGAGGUUAGUGCAAUGGCAUAAGCUAGCUUGACUGCGAGCGUGACGGCGCGAGCAGGUGCGAAAGCAGGUCAUAGUGAUCCGGUGGUUCUGAAUGGAAGGGCCAUCGCUCAACGGAUAAAAGGUACUCCGGGGAUAACAGGCUGAUACCGCCCAAGAGUUCAUAUCGACGGCGGUGUUUGGCACCUCGAUGUCGGCUCAUCACAUCCUGGGGCUGAAGUAGGUCCCAAGGGUAUGGCUGUUCGCCAUUUAAAGUGGUACGCGAGCUGGGUUUAGAACGUCGUGAGACAGUUCGGUCCCUAUCUGCCGUGGGCGCUGGAGAAUUGAGGGGGGCUGCUCCUAGUACGAGAGGACCGGAGUGGACGCAUCACUGGUGUUCGGGUUGUCAUGCCAAUGGCACUGCCCGGUAGCUAAAUGCGGAAGAGAUAAGUGCUGAAAGCAUCUAAGCACGAAACUUGCCCCGAGAUGAGUUCUCCCUGAGACUUUAAGUCUCCUGAAGGAACGUUAAAGACGAUGACGUUGAUAGGCCGGGUGUGUAAGCGCAGCGAUGCGUUGAGCUAACCGGUACUAAUGAACCGUGAGGCUUAACCUU